Molecule: ribosomal RNA, 497 nt
Filed under: uncultured bacterium
Lineage: Bacteria
Description: partial 16S ribosomal RNA
Rfam family: Bacterial small subunit ribosomal RNA
Source: RNAcentral
GAUGAACGCUGGCGGCGUGCCUAAUACAUGCAAGUCGAGCGAACAGACGAGGAGCUUGCUCCUCUGACGUUAGCGGCGGACGGGUGAGUAACACGUGGAUAACCUACCUAUAAGACUGGGAUAACUUCGGGAAACCGGAGCUAAUACCGGAUAAUAUAUUGAACCGCAUGGUUCAAUAGUGAAAGACGGUUUUGCUGUCACUUAUAGAUGGAUCCGCGCCGCAUUAGCUAGUUGGUAAGGUAAAGGCUUACCAAGGCAACGAUGCGUAGCCGACCGGAGAGAGGGAUCGGCCACACGGGAACUGGGACACGGUCCAGACUCCUACGGGACGCAGCAGAAGGGAAUCUUCCGCAAUGGGCGAAAGCCUGACGGAGCAACGCCGCGUGAGUGAUGAAGGUCUUCGGAUCGUAAAACUCUGUUAUUAGGGAAGAACAAAUGUGUAAGUAACUAUGCACGUCUUGACGGUACCUAAUCAGAAAGCCACGGCUAACUACGUG